Balaenoptera acutorostrata (minke whale) is the source of this 308-nucleotide long non-coding RNA. RefSeq lists it as uncharacterized. The transcript has 3 exons. NCBI's taxonomy places the organism in Eukaryota, Metazoa, Chordata, Mammalia, Artiodactyla, Balaenopteridae. The record is from RefSeq and is a predicted model, not a curated record.
GAGGAAGAUCCUGGGGAAAGCAGCAGCUCUCUGUCCUGCCUUGAGGGCACGGGGCUGCUGCUGUCAGAAGUCAGCCGUGUGGAGCACCUGGGCAGCAUAUGUGACCUGACUGCCUUUGCAGUUAUCUGCCAGAGGCUGCAACUCAAGCGCCUACAGGGACCAAGCAGGGGUGCACUUGGAAGAAAAGAAGAGAGAGUGCACCUACACUGGGCACUGUGCCUGGCAUAAAGCGCAUACACAAAUACAAUAAGAAGACAGUCUUUUGCAAACCAGGAGGCUCUCACCUGAUAGCAGAUCUACUGGCACCU